RNAcentral lists this ribosomal RNA (450 nucleotides) under uncultured bacterium. RNAcentral's name for it is "partial 16S ribosomal RNA". It matches the Rfam family "Bacterial small subunit ribosomal RNA", at positions 355 to 796 of the family's 1533-position model. The record is from RNAcentral.
UAGGGAAUCUUCGGCAAUGGACGAAAGUCUGACCGAGCAACGCCGCGUGAGUGAAGAAGGUUUUCGGAUCGUAAAACUCUGUUGUUAGAGAAGAACGUUGCAUAGAGUGGAAAAUUAUGCAAGUGACGGUAUCUAACCAGAAAGGGACGGCUAACUACGUGCCAGCAGCCGCGGUAAUACGUAGGUCCCGAGCGUUGUCCGGAUUUAUUGGGCGUAAAGCGAGCGCAGGUGGUUUAAUAAGUCUGAUGUAAAAGGCAGUGGCUCAACCAUUGUGUGCAUUGGAAACUGUUAGACUUGAGUGCAGUAGAGGAGAGUGGAAUUCCAUGUGUAGCGGUGAAAUGCGUAGAUAUAUGGAGGAACACCGGUGGCGAAAGCGGCUCUCUGGACUGUCACUGACACUGAGGCUCGAAAGCGUGGGUAGCAAACAGGAUUAGAUAGCCCUGGUAGUCC